This 301-nucleotide ribosomal RNA is filed under the name uncultured bacterium. RNAcentral describes it as "partial 16S ribosomal RNA". It matches the Rfam family "Bacterial small subunit ribosomal RNA", at positions 509 to 807 of the family's 1533-position model. The record is from RNAcentral.
CAGUAGCCGCGGGAAUACGGAGGGUGCGAGCGUUAAUCGGAACUACUGGGCGUAAAGCGUGCGUAAGCGGUUCGUUAAGUCUGUUGUGAAAGCCCCGGGCUCAACCUGGGAAUGGCAAUGGAUACUGGCGAGCUAGAGUGUGUCAGAGGAUGGUGGAAUUCCCGGUGUAGCGGUGAAAUGCGUAGAGAUCGGGAGGAACAUCAGUGGCGAAGGCGGCCAUCUGGGACAACACUGACGCUGAGGCACGAAAGCGUGGGGAGCAAACAGGAUUAGAUACCCGGGUAGUCCCUGUCUCUUAUAC